RNAcentral lists this long non-coding RNA (1144 nucleotides) under Pogona vitticeps (central bearded dragon). Its description in RNAcentral is "lncRNA (ENSPVIG00000015584.1)". The record is from RNAcentral. Lineage: Eukaryota; Metazoa; Chordata; Lepidosauria; Squamata; Agamidae.
ACUCUGGAGGAUGAUUUCUGGACUGUUCUGUUUCUUACCCCCCCUACCCUGUGGGGCAGUCACUGCUGGUGCCCCUGAUAGGAUGUCUGGCCCCUGUCAGACCCAUCAGAUGUAGCUACCACUGGGUCUCAGGUGGGUGCAGAAGCAGGCUGGCCAGCCAGAAGGCAGAAAAGACAGUGGCUCAUGAGAGCCACCUGGCUGAGGCAGAAGAGGCAGGCCUGAGCUACCAGCUGGAAGCUAUAAAGGAGGCUCCGAAAGAGGCUGGGGAAGGUCUGUUAGGUGAAAAGGAGGGACACCUUCAUAGUGAUUGUGGAGAAUGGAGCCUAGGGAGACGCGCAAGAUGAAUCCAAAGAGGCCCUGAGAGGAUAUGAGAUUGUAGACUACACCUACUGUACACGGAAGACCCGAGGACUGGGAUCCUAGUAUAGUUUGUAUUCCCCUAGGAAUGGGGUUCGGGGCUGAGGUGUGUUUGAUCGGGUCCCCUGCCAGCUGUAUCUGUGUCAAAGCACUAGAGGGCCAACUGGCUCCACCCUGCCCCAGAGGCAGCCCUAGAGGUGCAAGAGACCAAAGGAUCAGCAGCAGUGCUUCCUACAGCAGCAACUGGGGACUUCUAGAUUGCGACAGGGACCAGCUCGCAUAAUCCAGCCCAGCUGUCGAACGGCCUGCUCCACAGGGGUGGCCGCGGUUCAUAUGGAGAGCAAGGAAUCAAGGCCGCUUUGAUCAAUCAUCCCGGGACAAACUGAUGAUUCAGAAUGUUUAAUGUGUCUUGGUUCUUGAUUCGAGGCUCCCCUGGCUCAGACCCCUGUCAAUGGCUGGCAGUACAAGUUUGGAAAAAGUUACUUUUAUAUGGGCCACAAGUUGCAAAAUCUCCCAGCUGGCAAGACUGAAAAGCUAUGGUGACUGAUGCACUCUAGGAGUUUAAGUAAAAAAAAAAAGUAAUAUUUCCAAUCUCUUAGCUAUAAUUGUAUUCCAUGCAAGCACCCACAGUAGUGUCAGGGUGUAAACUGAAGAACAGUCUUUGUUUUAAAGCAUGUUUCCUUUUUCUUACUGUUAUUAUGAAGACCAAGAUCAUGACUACAGAAAAACCACACAACUUCAAUGUUGACAAUGAAUAAAAACUGAAUGAGUUAAAGAUUUUGGUUCA